Molecule: long non-coding RNA, 692 nt
Filed under: Brassica napus (rape)
Lineage: Eukaryota; Viridiplantae; Streptophyta; Magnoliopsida; Brassicales; Brassicaceae
Description: long non-coding RNA (BNAP_LNC009831)
Source: RNAcentral
AUUAAGAAACUAAAAUAUCUAAAAGAAUUGAUAACCAACAUAAUUCUAAUUAAGAACCUAAACCAACACACAAAAGGCUACCAAACCAAAAUCAUAAAUUUAUCAAUUAUCAAUUAUGCAACAAACUAACGACCCGCGAAGUUAUCCCUUAUGUACCAUACUUACAUUCACUUAUGCUUGAUGUUGAACAUGUGUUAGCUUUCCUCUCGUGAGUUUGAAUCUGCAGAGAUUUUGUAAUCUCUACUAAGAUACAACUCAAAAUAUAAGUAUAUGAACCUGACUCACAUCAGAUUGUCCAUGUUUAUGUUUAUAUGGUGAUUAAUUAUCAAACAAUUGGUUAUAUCUUCAUGUUAGACUUCAUGUUAGAUAGAUUAUUGAAAAAGACAACUAAUACGAAAUCAAUCUAGACUUCAUGUGAGUUAGUUGGUGUGCCCAGACUCUCUCUCGCAUAUUGGGACCAAAUCAGAAUUUGUAACAUGAUCAUCUCAAGAUAGUAAUACUUUCUCCUUUUUCGUUAGUGCAAAAUAGAACUUGAAACUGAGAUUGAAAGAUUUGUAUAUUUAUAAGCUUUGUAAUACUGAACAUGUUAUUGGGAUCUUUUUUCUUAUAGAUGCCAUAAGAAUUUUUCCUUUUUCAUUAGUGUAUUUGUGAAUUUGAAAUUGGGAGUGAUCCGAGUUAAAGCUUUAUAUAUA